Molecule: ribosomal RNA, 256 nt
Filed under: uncultured bacterium
Lineage: Bacteria
Description: partial 16S ribosomal RNA
Rfam family: Bacterial small subunit ribosomal RNA
Source: RNAcentral
UACGUAGGGGGGCUAGCGUUGUCCGGAAUCAUUGGGCGUAAAGCGCGCGUAGGCGGCCUGGUAAGUCCGCUGUGAAAGUCAAAGGCUCAACCUUUGAAUGUCAGCGGAUACUGCCAGGCUAGAGUCCGGAAGAGGCGAGUGGGAAUUCCUGGGUGUAGCGGUGGAAUGCGCAGAUAUCAGGAGGAACACCAACGGCGAAGGCAGCUCGCUGGGACGGUACUGACGCUGAGGCGCGAAAGCGUGGGGAGCAAACAGG